This 506-nucleotide ribosomal RNA is filed under the name uncultured bacterium. RNAcentral describes it as "partial 16S ribosomal RNA". It matches the Rfam family "Bacterial small subunit ribosomal RNA", at positions 29 to 523 of the family's 1533-position model. The record is from RNAcentral.
AAUGAACGCUGGCGGUAUGCUUAACACAUGCAAGUCGAACGGCAGCAUGGUCUAGCUUGCUAGACUGAUGGCGAGUGGCGGACGGGUGAGUAACGCGUAGGAAUAUGCCUUGAAGAGUGGGACAACUUGGGGAAACUCAAGCUAAUACCGCAUGUACUCGAGAGAGUAAAGCUGGGGACCUUUAGGCCUGGCGCUUUAAGAUUAGCCUGCGUCCGAUUAGCUAGUUGGUAGGGUAAAGGCCUACCAAGGCGACGAUCGGUAGCUGGUCUGAGAGGAUGAUCAGCCACACUGGAACUGAGAGACGGUCCAGACUCCUACGGGAGGCAGCAGUGGGGAAUAUUGGACAAUGGGGGGAACCCUGAUCCAGCAAUGCCGCGUGUGUGAAGAAGGCCUGAGGGUUGUAAAGCACUUUCAGUGGGGAGGGGGUUUGGAAGGUUAAGAGCUAUUCAAAUGGACGUUACCCACAGAAGAAGCACCGGCUAACUCCGUGCCAGCCGCCGCGGUAA